This 354-nucleotide ribosomal RNA is filed under the name uncultured soil bacterium. Its description in RNAcentral is "bacterial SSU rRNA". It matches the Rfam family "Bacterial small subunit ribosomal RNA", at positions 26 to 383 of the family's 1533-position model. The record is from RNAcentral.
AGAUUGAACGCUGGCGGCAGGCCUAACACAUGCAAGUCGAGCGGUAGAGAGGUGCUUGCACCUCUUGAGAGCGGCGGACGGGUGAGUAAUGCCUAGGAAUCUGCCUAGUGGUGGGGGAUAACGUUCGGAAACGGACGCUAAUACCGCAUACGUCCUACGGGAGAAAGCGGGGGACCUUCGGGCCUCGCGCCAUUAGAUGAGCCUAGGUCGGAUUAGCUAGUUGGUGAGGUAAUGGCUCACCAAGGCGACGAUCCGUAACUGGUCUGAGAGGAUGAUCAGUCACACUGGAACUGAGACACGGUCCAGACUCCUACGGGAGCAGCAGUGGGAAUAUUGGACAAUGGGACGAAAGCC